AUGUGUAAACAGUGGCUAUGGUGGCUCAAAGGGAAGCAGCGGCUGCUCCAUGGAAACACGCAACUUAGUGAUGUACUUUUUGUUUCUAGAUUUUGUUCACUCUCAUUAAAUUUUAAGCAAGAAAAUCCACUACCCUGCAAAAAGUUCUUCCAACAAAUAUUUUUGUGUGUGCAAUUAAGAUCAAUCUUCCUAUUCAUUCAUUGCACGCUGUUAUUCUGCAGGACCGGCGAAGUGCAAGGUCAUGUACAAGGGAUAAGCUGGUCAAUGAAGGAAAUUCUAAAAGAAAGCGACUACAAGCAACAUUUGAAGGUACAGCUUGUAUUAUGUUACUUCAGAAAUUAA
RNAcentral lists this ribosomal RNA (342 nucleotides) under Triticum aestivum (bread wheat). RNAcentral's name for it is "partial small subunit ribosomal RNA". Lineage: Eukaryota; Viridiplantae; Streptophyta; Magnoliopsida; Poales; Poaceae. The record is from RNAcentral.